Molecule: long non-coding RNA, 3763 nt
Filed under: Xyrichtys novacula (pearly razorfish)
Lineage: Eukaryota; Metazoa; Chordata; Actinopteri; Labriformes; Labridae
Source: RNAcentral
GCAUUUGGGUUUUACUUUCUGUUGCCUCUUUAUGAUUAUCCAAACACCGAGGACAAGAAAUAUUCAAAAGACACCAGAGGCCACAGAAAAGGGCUUCUUGGAUGUGAUUGUUGUUCACCAGAUGGCUUAAGCAUUUGGACUUGAUCGUGUCUGCAUUUUGGUUCUUCUCCUUGUCUUCUCAGAAAAUCUACUUUCCGAGUAAAGGGGUAUUCCAAAUAACCGAUGGCUAAACUGCAAACCUGCCAACAAAUUUAAGAAGUAAAAAGGUGAUAAACACUCUGAUUGGACUGCUUUAUGCUGGUUUAGUCAAGCCUCUAAACUCCUAUGUGCAUUUGGGUUCUGCUGUGUGUUGCCUGUUUGUUUAAAAACGAGGCCCGUUAAAAUGAGAGCUGUAUGUUAAUGAUUGGUUAGGGUUUGCUGCAUUUGUCUGUGAUAAACCUCUGCACUUGAACAUGUCUGCUUUUGGGUUAUUUUCCUUGCGGCCCAUUAUUCCAACCCCAUUACCAGUACAAAUUUCUCUGAGGAAGUUGGAACCAAUGAUCUGUAUCUUAACCGCUUAAGCAUUUCCAAACCACACCUCAUUUUCCUCCUUGAGCACAUUUGAGCGGUUUUGGCGUCUGUCUUUGUUGUCCUAUUUGUUCUUGUUCACAUGUUGGCUCGUCGGUUUAUCGUCACACGGGGGUUUGUCUGUCUGACUAUGCAAAUUUUAAACAGAGCUUCCUCAUUUAUUCAUCCCUCCCAAACAGCAUUCUUAUUUUUGCCUCGUCUUCUCCCUAACCUCGAGUUCGCUAUCCUUUUAUCCUUUUCUGAGAGUUUUAUUCUAAAAGGAGAUUCUGCCAUUUUGGAGAGGAUGCAGAGAAACUGUAUGAAUACAAAUGUGCUGCUGAGGUUGGAAACUUUUUAAGGGUCUUUGAAUACAAAGUACCAACAAUGUUAAAGGACUCAGUGACAUGAGUAUAUCGCAAACUCUGACUUCUGUUUGGCCCAUUUCUCUUGAAUAUGACUAACUUUGCCAGGAGGGUCCUAAAAUACUCAACCGAUCCCCCGUAACUUCCGACGUUCUUCAUCUUUUGUCAGCUCAUUCCUCUAUUCCUUUUUCUUUCAAUCUCUCCCUCUCUCUGUCUCUCUCGCUCUCUCUCAGGCCCCAGCCAUCUGCUCUGUGUGCCCUGACGUGUGCAUGAGCACCCAUGAGAAGCCCAGUGGAAGUAAUCGUCUGUUACCGCUCAGGCUUCAACAUGUUGUCUGCCCACUGCACAUACCUCUUUAGCUCCCUACAAACCCACGAUGCCACGGUGCCAAAGAAGUGAGGCCACUAGCAUUCUCUUAUAUAAUGGCUGUGAACGCUCUCUAUCUCUCUCUCUUUGCACCUGGUGCACACUCCGGCAUCUUCUCGGAUUCCUUUCCGCCUCCUUAUUCGCUCGUUUUUACUUUUUUGUACUAAUUGCAUCAGUCAGUUUGGGUUGUAUUAGCAUGCAGGAGGCCCGUAUUAGUCCGCUGAAUUUCAAUUUCCUGUAAUAUAAGUGCAUGCAAAGACAUCCUCAUUGCAAAAGCACACAGAGUACAAAAGAGAACAGAGUUAGAAGUGGAGGCAGAUUGAAUGUUAUCUAAGGUGGUGAUUUGUUUUCACUCUGUGUUGCUUGUGGCAGCAGGAUGCAAACUGAGCCUCUAGUCCUGCAGUGUGUUUUUCACUCUGAAGUCACGUCUAAAGGCCAAAGUGCUGACUUUAACCCUUCACAUUUCGCCAAGGAAGUUUCUCUGGUUCAGCUGAGUUUCUUUCACGAGUGCGUUUAGCUAAAUAAAAAGUAGAUUAAGUCCCACAGUCCCUCUCUUUCACUCCUCUCCUCUCUUUCCUCUGGUAUAAUUGGCAAUAAUGAGCGCAAUCUUUCUUACAAACAAUAACCUGUCCUUUGAAAAAGCACACUCCCUCACUCUCCAGAAGGAAAACCACAGAGGCAGACUGGUUAUUGUUUACAGCAGGGCCUCAAUCUGCAUGUGGGGAGGUAUGCUGGGUUAAUUCAUUAUUUCCUUUAGCUGUCAUAAAAAUAUGGAUUGCCCUUCCAUGGAGCUGCAGCUGGCGCCUUUACAUAGAGAGAGUGGAGUGAGUGUGUGUGUGUGUGUGUGGGGGGGGGGGGGGGGGGUACUCUGUGAUAGGAGAACUGCGCUUCAACAACGUGACUGAAUCCCGAAAACAGGAGAGAGAGCGAGCGAGAGAGGGAGUCAGGGGGAAGUGGGGGGUGAGAGGAGAUGUAAAUUCAUUUGGAUCUCCCGAUUACGUUCAAUGGAGGCAACACAAUACAAGUGCGACCCCUACUGGUGCAAUAUCGGCCUGCCUUUCACUCUUGGUUAAGACGCUUUCUAAAUUGUAAAACAUUUUUUUUCUAGGACAAAGCCUGAGUAGACUUUCUAUCGCUUUUAAAGAGGUAGAUUUGGCCUCAAAUUAUGCUAAAUAUAAUGAGAUAUCCAGCUUCGUUUUUUCUCUCUCUCUCUCUCUCCCUCUCUGUGAGAUCUCUCCAACGCAGCGCGAUUGGAGCACUGUUCGUCCUGGUUUGGGAUGGAGAAGAAGAGUGGGAAGUUGGACCAACCAGUGGCGCAAGCAAAACCCUGCAGUGUGGUAUCCAACAAGAAGGGGGGAAAGCAGCAGAAGCGCACCCUUCUUUUACUUUACAGUGCCUUCAGUGAAAAGCAUUUUUGGUGAUUCAACGCGUCUGGUAACGGGGCUGUGGGUGCGUUUAUCCAAACACCUAAGGGGGCACGUUCCCUUGAAUCAAACCUUUACAGCCAAAUUUGAAGUCCAGAUUAUCUUUGAUGACCUAACGCACGAUUAGCGGAAUUUGUCCGGUUAAGAGAUGUACACUGAUGCGCUUCGGAGAAGCAUGCGCUGCGCUCACUGCGCAAGCCUUCUCAUCUGAAUUAUGAGGAAAUUCUUAUACUUGACGUAAGAGCUGACAGAGGGAACCUAACAGGUAUUGUCUGCGUCUUAUACUAUCCAUUACGCAUCGUUUGAGCCCCACUUGAUCGUGUUUUAGGGACCGAUUCGCUCUCCGUGAUGUAAGUGCCGCACUUUGGAUGAGGGACUCCUGUGGAUAACCCGCUGGUCAGGAAAGAGGGGGGUAUGAAUGAAGAAACGCUGCAGGACCACCAGAGUCUAAACUGAACCGAUAAAAAUAUAUAUACAACAUACUUACAGCAUCUCCCUUCCACUGAGCUCCAAAACAGCGGUGCGAGAUGACAUUGCAACAGUCCCCUCUCUCCUCGCAGAAACCAUGCAGCCUCUGAUGGGGAUCACACUCACAAACACUGCAACAACAGGACGGGGGGUAUGAAAUAUCACCGAAUCUCAGGCGAUUAAAUAUUCCCACCGUGUCCGAGAAGAGAAAAAAAAUCUGAAUGAAAUCCCCCGCGUUGACACUUCACACGCGCGCAGCAGCGAAUAAAAUUCACUGUUGUUGUAAUCCAAUCUUCAUUGUGUGUGUGCGCCUGCCGCUGCUGCCGCUGCUGCUGCUGCUGCUGCUUCUUCUCCACUGCAAUCUCUGCUGGCCCCGCGCAUUGUGGGGGGCUCAACCUGCCUCUGUGUGAUUACAGCUCCCGGUAUCCCGUUAUUCCUGUCCCGGGUAGAGGAGAGCAAGAGGCAGGUGAGCAGCCGCCGGACGCACACAUAGACGCACACGCACGUUAACUACUACAGUAGAAGCUCCGGCAGCCUGCAAACCGAGCAUGGGACCCAACGUCUCUCUCUCUCUCUCUCACUCUCUCUCUCUCUCCC